GUGUUGAAAUUUCCAGGAUGCAAAACGAAGGGGCAAUUCAAAACAUUCAUCUCCACUUCUCAACAACAUGGUCCCUGUCACCAUCCACCUCGACUUCAUGUAUCUUCUGCUUCUACCCGUGUAACAAGUACAUGUCUCUCAAAACAGAAUUUUGGCUUUUCCAGAUUGGCAAAUACCUCUUAGUUAAAUGUGGCUUUCAAGUAUGUGUUUACUCCUUUAUGUUUCAAUUUUCCUUCAAUUUUGGCCUGGAGAGUGUCUCAACUAAGAAGCUAAAAAGGGAAAGAAAAGAAAAGCAAUUAUGUUUUUUUCCCCUGCGGCCUAUACAAACACAUACACACCAAGUGUGUUUAAUUUGCAACAAUAUUGAAUAUGUGAGGGAAAAGUCGAGAAAAGACCACUAG
Molecule: long non-coding RNA, 401 nt
Filed under: Pan paniscus (pygmy chimpanzee)
Lineage: Eukaryota; Metazoa; Chordata; Mammalia; Primates; Hominidae
Description: lncRNA (ENSPPAG00000044976.1)
Source: RNAcentral